Molecule: ribosomal RNA, 738 nt
Filed under: uncultured bacterium
Lineage: Bacteria
Description: bacterial SSU rRNA
Rfam family: Bacterial small subunit ribosomal RNA
Source: RNAcentral
AACGCGAAAGCCCCGCAAGGGGUAAGUAGAGUGGCAAACGGGUGAGUAACGCGUGGGUGACCUACCUUCGAGUGGGGGAUAACGUCUCGAAAGGGACGCUAAUACCGCAUGACAUCCUGCUUUUGAACAGGUGGAGAUCAAAGUCGGGUCGCAAGAUCUGGCGCUUGAAGAGGGGCCCACGUCCGAUUAGCUAGUUGGUGAGGUAAUGGCCCACCAAGGCGACGAUCGGUAGCCGGCCUAAGAGGGCGGACGGCCACACUGGGACUGAGACACGGCCCAGACUCCUACGGGAGGCAGCAGUGGGGAAUUGUUCGCAAUGGGCGCAAGCCUGACGACGCAACGCCGCGUGGAGGAUGAAGAUCUUCGGGUCGUAAACUCCUGUCGAGUGGGACGAAUGAUCCGCGACCUAAUACGUCGCGGAAGUGACGGUACCGCUAGAGGAAGCCCCGGCUAACUCCGUGCCAGCAGCCGCGGUAAUACGGGGGGGGCAAGCGUUGUUCGGAAUUACUGGGCGUAAAGGGCUCGUAGGCGGCCAACUAAGUCAGACGUGAAAUCCCUCGGCUUAACCGGGGAACUGCGUCUGAUACUGGAUGGCUUGAGAUUGGGAGAGGGAUGCGGAAUUCCAGGUGUAGCGGUGAAAUGCGUAGAUAUCUGGAGGAACACCGGUGGCGAAGGCGGCAUCCUGGACCAACACUGACGCUGAGGAGCGAAAGCCAGGGGAGCAAACGGGGAUAGAUA